AGCAUAUCAAUAAGCGGAGGAAAAGAAACCAACAGGGAUUGCCUCAGUAACGGCGAAGUGAAGCGGCAAGAGCUCAAAUUUGAAAGCUGGCCCCUUCGGGGUCCGCGUUGUAAUUUGCAGAGGAUGCUUCGGGUGCAGCCCCCGUCUAAGUGCCCUGGAACGGGCCGUCAUAGAGGGUGAGAAUCCCGUCUGGGACGGGGUGUCUGCGUCCGUGUGAAGCUCCUUCGACGAGUCGAGUUGUUUGGGAAUGCAGCUCUAAAUGGGUGGUAAAUUUCAUCUAAAGCUAAAUACUGGCCGGAGACCGAUAGCGCACAAGUAGAGUGAUCGAAAGAUGAAAAGCACUUUGAAAAGAGAGUUAAACAGCACGUGAAAUUGUUGAAAGGGAAGCGUUUGCGACCAGACUCGCCCGCGGGGUUCAGCCGGCAUUCGUGCCGGUGUACUUCCCCGUGGGCGGGCCAGCGUCGGUUUGGGCGGCCGGUCAAAGGCCCUCGGAAUGUAUCACCUCUCGGGGUGUCUUAUAGCCGAGGGUGCAAUGCGGCCUGCCUGGACCGAGGAACGCGCUUCGGCUCGGACGCUGGCGUAAUGGUCGUAAAUGACCCGUCUUGAAACACGGACCAAGGAGUCUAACAUCUACGCGAGUGUUCGGGUGUCAAACCCGUACGCGCAGUGAAAGCGAACGGAGGUGGGAGCCCCCUCGCGGGGCGCACCAUCGACCGAUCCUGAUGUCUUCGGAUGGAUUUGAGUACGAGCGUAGCUGUGGGGACCCGAAAGAUGGUGAACUAUGCCUGAAUAGGGCGAAGCCAGAGGAAACUCUGGUGGAGGCUCGCAGCGGUUCUGACGUGCAAAUCGAUCGUCAAAUUUGGGUAUAGGGGCGAAAGACUAAUCGAACCAUCUAGUAGCUGGUUCUGCCGAG
Molecule: ribosomal RNA, 913 nt
Filed under: Aspergillus fumigatus
Lineage: Eukaryota; Fungi; Ascomycota; Eurotiomycetes; Eurotiales; Aspergillaceae
Description: LSU rRNA
Rfam family: Eukaryotic large subunit ribosomal RNA
Source: RNAcentral